UGUUAUCGUAAUAGUAAUUCAACUUAGUACGAGAGGAACCGUUGAUUCAGAUAAUUGGUAUUUGCGACUGUCCGAUCGGGCAAUGUCGCGAAGCUAUCAUCUGCUGGAUUAUGGCUGAACGCCUCUAAGCCAGAAUCCGUGCUAGAAACGAUGAUGUUGGUCCCGCACAUUU
This 172-nucleotide non-coding RNA is filed under the name Ceraceosorus bombacis. RNAcentral's name for it is "Eukaryotic large subunit ribosomal RNA". It matches the Rfam family "Eukaryotic large subunit ribosomal RNA", at positions 3006 to 3178 of the family's 3401-position model. Lineage: Eukaryota; Fungi; Basidiomycota; Exobasidiomycetes; Ceraceosorales; Ceraceosoraceae. The record is from Rfam by way of RNAcentral.